Burkholderiales bacterium is the source of this 82-nucleotide non-coding RNA. The record is from Rfam. NCBI's taxonomy places the organism in Bacteria, Pseudomonadati, Pseudomonadota, Betaproteobacteria, Burkholderiales.
GCCCGGGUGGUGAAAUUGGUAGACGCAGGGGACUCAAAAUCCCCCGCCGAAAGGCGUGCCGGUUCGAUUCCGGCCCCGGGCA